AACGAACGCUGGCGGCAGGCUCAACACAUGCAAGUCGAACGCUCGGAGCAAUCCGGGAGUGGCGGACGGGUGAGUAACGCGUGGGAACGUGCCCUGAGGUAGGGAAUAACUGCGGGAAACUGCAGCUAAUACCCUAUGAGCCCAUAGCAAUAUGGGGAAAGAUUUAUCGCCUUGGGAGCGGCCCGCGUCGGAUUAGCUAGUUGGUGGGGUAACGGCCUACCAAGGCUUCGAUCCGUAGCUGGUCUGAGAGGACGAUCAGCCACACUGGGACUGAGACACGGCCCAGACUCCUACGGGAGGCAGCAGUGGGGAAUCUUGCGCAAUGGGCGAAAGCCUGACGCAGCCAUGCCGCGUGAACGAUGAAGGCCUUAGGGUUGUAAAGUUCUUUUGCCCGUGACGAUGAUGACGGUAACGGGAGAAUAAGCUCCGGCUAACUUCGUGCCAGCCGCCGCGGUAAU
Molecule: ribosomal RNA, 458 nt
Filed under: uncultured bacterium
Lineage: Bacteria
Description: bacterial SSU rRNA
Rfam family: Bacterial small subunit ribosomal RNA
Source: RNAcentral